This 495-nucleotide ribosomal RNA is filed under the name uncultured bacterium. Its description in RNAcentral is "partial 16S ribosomal RNA". It matches the Rfam family "Bacterial small subunit ribosomal RNA", at positions 29 to 506 of the family's 1533-position model. The record is from RNAcentral.
AUGCACGCUGGCGGCGUGCCUCAUACCUGCCAGUCGAGCGAACAGACGAGGAGCUUGCUCCUCUGACGUUAGCGGCGGACGGGUGAGUAACACGUGGAUAACCUACCUAUAAGACUGGGAUAACUUCGGGAAACCGGAGCUAAUACCGGAUAAUAUAUUGAACCGCAUGGUUCAAUAGUGAAAGACGGUUUUGCUGUCACUUAUAGAUGGAUCCGCGCCGCAUUAGCUAGUUGGUAAGGUAACGGCUUACCAAGGCAACGAUGCGUAGCCGACCUGAGAGGGUGAUCGGCCACACUGGAACUGAGACACGGUCCAGACUCCUACGGGAGGCAGCAGUAGGGAAUCUUCCGCAAUGGGCGAAAGCCUGACGGAGCAACGCCGCGUGAGUGAUGAAGGUCUUCGGAUCGUAAAACUCUGUUAUUAGGGAAGAACAAAUGUGUAAGUAACUAUGCACGUCUUGACGGUACCUAAUCAGAAAGCCACGGCUAACUACGU